UCUCCGUAGGUGAACCUGCGGAGGGAUCAAUACAGGCUUGCAAAAGCUCCGAAACCACUGUUUAUCUACCUGAAUCUGCUUCGUCGUGCCACCCCCGGGCGGGGCCGUAGCCGCGAGGCCCCCGCCGAAGACCCCCAAACCCUAUCCUCUUGAGAAUCUCUGAGUAUCAUAUUAAACAGAUAACAACUUUCAACAACGGAUCUCUUGGCUCUG
Molecule: unclassified non-coding RNA, 213 nt
Filed under: plant metagenome
Description: partial contains small subunit ribosomal RNA, internal transcribed spacer 1, and 5.8S ribosomal RNA
Source: RNAcentral